GUCCUAGCCGUAAACGGUGCAUGUUUGCUGUAAAAGGAAUCGACCCCUUUUGUGGCGUAGCCAACGCGUUAAACAUGCCGCCUGGGGAAGUACGGUCGCAAGAUUAAAAACUCAAAAGAAAUUGACGGGGGCCUGCACAAGCGGUGGAGUAUGUGGCUCAAUUCGAUGCAACGCGAAGAACCUUACCUGGCCUUGACAUGUACGUAGUAGAAGGGUGAAAGCCUGACGACCUCGCAAGAGGAGCAUACACAGGUGCUGCAUGGCUGUCGU
RNAcentral lists this ribosomal RNA (270 nucleotides) under uncultured bacterium. RNAcentral describes it as "partial 16S ribosomal RNA". It matches the Rfam family "Bacterial small subunit ribosomal RNA", at positions 793 to 1055 of the family's 1533-position model. The record is from RNAcentral.